RNAcentral lists this ribosomal RNA (1383 nucleotides) under uncultured bacterium. Its description in RNAcentral is "16S ribosomal RNA". It matches the Rfam family "Bacterial small subunit ribosomal RNA". The record is from RNAcentral.
UUAGAGUUUGAUCCUGGCUCAAGAUGAACCCUAGCGACAGGCUUAACACAUGCAAGUCGAGGGGCAGCACAGGUAGCAAUACCGGGUGGCGACCGGCGCACGGGUGAGCAACGCGUAUGCAACUUGCCUAUCAGAGGGGGAUAACCCGGCGAAAGUCGGACUAAUACCGCAUGAAGCAGGGAUCCCGCAUGGGAAUAUUUGCUAAAGAUUCAUCGCUGAUAGAUAGGCAUGCGUUCCAUUAGGCAGUUGGCGGGGUAACGGCCCACCAAACCGACGAUGGAUAGGGGUUCUGAGAGGAAGGUCCCCCACAUUGGUACUGAGACACGGACCAAACUCCUACGGGAGGCAGCAGUGAGGAAUAUUGGUCAAUGGCCGAGAGGCUGAACCAGCCAAGUCGCGUGAGGGAUGAAGGUUCUAUGGAUCGUAAACCUCUUUUAUAAGGGAAUAAAGUGCGGGACGUGUCCCGUUUUGUAUGUACCUUAUGAAUAAGGAUCGGCUAACUCCGUGCCAGCAGCCGCGGUAAUACGGAGGAUCCGAGCGUUAUCCGGAUUUAUUGGGUUUAAAGGGUGCGUAGGCGGCCUUUUAAGUCAGCGGUGAAAGUCUGUGGCUCAACCAUAGAAUUGCCGUUGAAACUGGGGGGCUUGAGUAUGUUUGAGGCAGGCGGAAUGCGUGGUGUAGCGGUGAAAUGCAUAGAUAUCACGCAGAACCCCGAUUGCGAAGGCAGCCUGCCAAGCCAUGACUGACGCUGAUGCACGAAAGCGUGGGGAUCAAACAGGAUUGGAUACCCUGGUAGUCCACGCAGUAAACGAUGAUCACUAGCUGUUUGCGAUACACUGUAAGCGGCACAGCGAAAGCGUUAAGUGAUCCACCUGGGGAGUACGCCGGCAACGGUGAAACUCAAAGGAAUUGACGGGGGCCCGCACAAGCGGAGGAACAUGUGGUUUAAUUCGAUGAUACGCGAGGAACCUUACCCGGGUUUGAACGCAUUCGGACCGAGGUGGAAACACCUUUUCUAGCAAUAGCCGUUUGCGAGGUGCUGCAUGGUUGUCGUCAGCUCGUGCCGUGAGGUGUCGGCUUAAGUGCCAUAACGAGCGCAACCCUUGCCACUAGUUACUAACAGGUGAUGCUGAGGACUCUGGUGGGACUGCCAGCGUAAGCUGCGAGGAAGGCGGGGAUGACGUCAAAUCAGCACGGCCCUUACAUCCGGGGCGACACACGUGUUACAAUGGCGUGGACAAAGGGAAGCCACCUGGCGACAGGGAGCGAAUCCCCAAACCACGUCUCAGUUCGGAUCGGAGUCUGCAACCCGACUCCGUGAAGCUGGAUUCGCUAGUAAUCGCGCAUCAGCCAUGGCGCGGUGAAUACGUUCCCGGGCCUUGCACA